This is a long non-coding RNA of Ictalurus punctatus (channel catfish), 1428 nucleotides long. NCBI's taxonomy places the organism in Eukaryota, Metazoa, Chordata, Actinopteri, Siluriformes, Ictaluridae. The record is from Ensembl.
GGCCUAUUAACUUUAUUACCUUUUAACUUAAGACACAUUUAAAUGAACAACAAUGUACAUUCGUUUAAAAUCUAUCCUUCAUCCACACUUGAAAUUUAUGAACUUGGAAAAUUAAGUAGGUCGCACACACUGGAAACUCAUUUGUGCUGCUUUAAAAAUAGCGGAGUCUACAUUCAUACAGUUCAAAUGCCGUACUGUAGCCUAUAAAACACAGUAAAAGGUCAUAAAAGGAACAAAAUGUCAAGUAUGAACUUGUCAUGAUCUAGUGCCACGGAGAACAAAGAUGGCUGACGACAAAGUUCUAACAGUGUGAGUGCUGCUGCAACGCGUGUAUAAAAUUCAUCAACAUCAGGACACCCAAUUCACAGGACAGAUACGGUAGUGGUGGUGGAGAAACCUGAAUGAAACUUGCUAAUAGACAGAAAAACACCUUAUGAUUUCCGUAUCACGCUGAUUGAUGACGUAAGCAGUGUCGUACAUAGUGGUUUCAUUUAAUCGCAGGUCUAUCGUUAGAGGAUCUUCUUCAUAUAAUCUGGAGAACUCAUGCUAUCACACAGUGUGUUACAGAAUUCAGAACAGAGUUUAUUAAGAUCUCGUACAAUGUGACGAGUAAUCUAAAAACGCAGCUGAAAUUACGGUCUAAAACCGGUAUUAUUCGUAAAUCUUCACUGCCAAUAUUAAUGUUAACCGGCUAGCUAACAAGCUCUGGUACUGGAAUCACCAAACUACCCUUACUGAGAAGCAUUUGAAGGGUUUGUCCAUGUGUCUAUAUUGCUCUGGUGUUUGCAGUCUGCCUUCUGUUUCAGAAAAUUGAGUCAAUUACUUGAAUAUUGUUUAAUUAGUCAGCAAUAAUAAACCAUAACCAUAUCCUACAAAUCAAACCAAUGGCACAUAAUCCUAACUACACACUAGAAACCCUGAUUCAAGAAUUAGGCCUGUGUGUGACAACAUAAAAGGUACUUUUUGUGGUUCACUAUAGCGUCGGUGACUGAUAGAACAUUCUGUAAUCCUAAAAAAUGAUCCGGGCUCAUUCUAACACAAAUUACUGGAAUGUUAUUGCCAUUCAUUUUUAUCUAAGGUAAAGUAAUGGAAAUUUGAUGAAACUGUAUGAUGUGAGAGACAUUCAAAUGGUUGUUCAUUUAUCUUCAGUAAACACUUCAUCAUGCUCAGGGUCGCAGUGGAUCCGGUGUCUAUCCCGGGAACACUAGGCGUGAGGUGGGAAUUCACCCUGGAUGGGACGCCAGUUCGUUACAGGACACCAUGUACACGUGCACAUUUACAGCUACGGGCAAUUUAGCAUCACCAAUUCACCUACAAGCAUGUUUCUGGGAGUUGGGAGGAAACUGGAGAACCUGCAGGAAACCCACAAGGAGAACACUAGAGCUCAGGAUCGAAGACAGCAACACUGCGCACUCCGUCACUGCGCCG